AAUCCAUAGGUUAAUGAGGCGAACCGGGGGAACUGAAACAUCUAAGUACCCCGAGGAAAAGAAAUCAACCGAGAUUCCCCCAGUAGCGGCGAGCGAACGGGGAGGAGCCCAGAGCCUGAAUCAGCAUGUGUGUUAGUGGAAGCGUCUGGAAAGGCGCGCGAUACAGGGUGACAGCCCCGUACACAAAAGCGCAUGUGCUGUGAGCUCGAUGAGUAGGGCGGGACACGUGGUAUCCUGUCUGAAUAUGGGGGGACCAUCCUCCAAGGCUAAAUACUCCUGACUGACCGAUAGUGAACCAGUACCGUGAGGGAAAGGCGAAAAGAACCCCGGCGAGGGGAGUGAAAAAGAACCUGAAACCGUGUACGUACAAGCAGUGGGAGCACCCUUUGGGUGUGACUGCGUACCUUUUGUAUAAUGGGUCAGCGACUUAUAUUCUGUAGCAAGGUUAACCGAAUAGGGGAGCCGGAGGGAAACCGAGUCUUAACCGGGCGUUAAGUUGCAGGGUAUAGACCCGAAACCCGGUGAUCUAGCCAUGGGCAGGUUGAAGGUUGGGUAACACUAACUGGAGGACCGAACCGACUAAUGUUGAAAAAUUAGCGGAUGACCUGUGGCUGGGGGUGAAAGGCCAAUCAAACCGGGAGAUAGCUGGUUCUCCCCGAAAGCUAUUUAGGUAGCGCCUCGUGAAUUCAUCUCCGGGGGUAGAGCACUGUUUCGGCUAGGGGGCCAUCCCGGCUUACCAACCCGAUGCAAACUGCGAAUACCGGAGAAUGUUAUCACGGGAGACACACGGCGGGUGCUAACGUCCGUCGUGAAGAGGGAAACAACCCAGACCGCCAGCUAAGGUCCCAAAGUCAUGGUUAAGUGGGAAACGAUGUGGGAAGGCCCAGACAGCCAGGAUGUUGGCUUAGAAGCAGCCAUCAUUUAAAGAAAGCGUAAUAGCUCACUGGUCGAGUCGGCCUGCGCGGAAGAUGUAACGGGGCUAAACCAUGCACCGAAGCUGCGGCAGCG
RNAcentral lists this ribosomal RNA (1008 nucleotides) under Salmonella enterica. RNAcentral describes it as "partial 23S ribosomal RNA". It matches the Rfam family "Bacterial large subunit ribosomal RNA", at positions 161 to 1210 of the family's 2925-position model. The record is from RNAcentral. Lineage: Bacteria; Pseudomonadati; Pseudomonadota; Gammaproteobacteria; Enterobacterales; Enterobacteriaceae. RNAcentral also lists the same sequence under 1 other name.